UACGUAGGGUGCGAGCGUUGCCCGGAUUUAUUGGGCGUAAAGGGCGCGUAGGCGGCCACGCACGUCCGUUGUGAAAUCGCCCGGCUCAACUGGGCGGGGUCAGCGGAUACGGUGUGGCUAGAGCAAGCUAGGGGGCAAUGGAAUUCCCGGUGUAGUGGUGGAAUGCGUAGAGAUCCGGAAGAACACCGGUGGCGAAGGCGGCCUGCUGGGCAGUUGCUGACACUGAGGCGCGACAGCGUGGGGAGCAAACAGG
This 253-nucleotide ribosomal RNA is filed under the name uncultured bacterium. RNAcentral describes it as "partial 16S ribosomal RNA". It matches the Rfam family "Bacterial small subunit ribosomal RNA", at positions 524 to 776 of the family's 1533-position model. The record is from RNAcentral.